RNA transcript from Drosophila santomea, 2800 nucleotides. It is a transcript of the gene named vascular endothelial growth factor C, with no coding region annotated. Lineage: Eukaryota; Metazoa; Arthropoda; Insecta; Diptera; Drosophilidae. The transcript has 7 exons. The record is from RefSeq and is a predicted model, not a curated record.
GGAGAGCGUAAUGCUGCGACCGCUGGUUACUGCUACUGCUACAGCUACAGCUACAGCUACAGCUACUGUUACUGUUAUUGUUAUUGUUAUUUGGGGAGUGUGAUAGGGGCGCAGUAACUUGGCCCACACCGACGACGCGACAGUUUUGAACGGAACUUGCUGGUGCUUGGAUCGCAGCUCCGCCGAUCUCCGCGAGGUUGAAACCAACGACUUCGAUUUCGUCGCUCAAAUCACAUAUCACAAAUCGCCAAAUACAAAAGCCUAGUUGUGCACAUCUAUAUAUUUUUUUUCUGUUUGUUUUCCGUUUGCGUGCUAAACCAUUUGUGCUGGUGAUCUUCGUGUGGAACAUAAAAACCUAAUAUUCCGAAUUUUCAAGCCGUGUUUCCAAAAGACUAAUUGCAACAGUUUCCGUGUCUGCAAUCCAUUCAAUCGAGUUUGGCAGCUGUUCCUCCAACACAACCGCAUGGCCAUGUCCCGCAUCCGCAACCGAAACCGAAUCCUUGUGCCCAUGCAGCAGCUGCUCCUCCUGCCACUGCUGCUCCUCGUCCUCCUGGUCGUGGGCAAGGCAGCGGCGGGCUCCUUGGUGUCCCCGAACAACAGGCAGCCAUCGCAGCGCUUCUUCUACGCCGCCGCCACGUCCUCCUCCUCCUCCUCGCAGACGAAGGUGCGCCUGCUCCGCCAGGCGGAGGAUCCCAAUGCGGCGCCGGCUGCACUGGAGGGCAGUUGCUGUCAAGGAGCAGCCGCCGAAGCUGGAAAACCAUUGACGCUGCCACUGGCCGUGUCCGCUGAGCUGACCAACGUGACCGCCGACUACGACGUGUCCGGCGAGAUGCCCUCCUCCAAGGAAAACUUCAAGCGCAGCAUCAUGAAAUCAACCGUGAGGAAUGCGACGCCGGCGAGCUGCUCCCCGCAACCGACGAUCGUGGAGCUGAAGCCGCCGGCGGAGGAUGAGGCCAACUACUACUACAUGCCGGCAUGUACGCGGAUCAGUCGGUGCAAUGGAUGCUGCGGUUCCACGCUGAUCUCCUGCCAGCCGACGGAGGUGGAGCAGGUGCAGCUGCGGGUGCGCAAGGUGGACCGGGCGGCCACCAGCGGUCGCAGACCCUUCACCAUCAUCACCGUGGAGCAGCACACGCAGUGCCGCUGCGAUUGCCGCACAAAGGCGGAGGACUGCAACGUGUACCAGUCGUAUCGCAAGGAUCUGUGCCGCUGCGAGUGCCACAACACGGACGCGAGGGACAAGUGCCUGGAGCAGGCGGAGAACAAGUACUGGGUGGACGACAACUGCACCUGCGUCUGUCGCUACAACCAGAGCUGCACCACCGGCACCGUCUUCGAUGAGACGCAGUGCAAGUGCACCGACGUGAGUGGCUCCCGAUAGGACACACCAGUGGCUCCCUUUGAGGCUCCACGGGCAGGGAUCUGGUCUGGUUUCGAUCUGGUCUGGUCUGGGGAUCGGUUGUGCUCGUCCUUGGUUGGUUUGCGGUUGCUUCCUGGUGGUGGCUCCCUAGCUUAAGCUGUCCCGACAAGUUCCUCGCUUAUUUAUUGUAUUUCUUCUGUAUUUUUAAUAGUUUCUUGGCCAUUUAUAGAACUACUUAAUAAUAGAGUUUGAAAGCUAUUGCUUAGAAGUAUUUUCAAAAUCACAGAAGUUCACUCUGCGCGAAUUCUUUAGCACUAUUUGUAGUAGUUUCCGCCUAGAAGUUUACUCCGUUUGAUUUGACAUAUUAAACCAACCAACAUUUCCAAAUAAUUUGCAGUUAAAGUAGUGCUUUGGUUAGUGAAAAACAUUAAGUAGAUAUUAGUUCACAGUACUCAGGUUCCACUGUUUCGCUUUUGGCUUUUGCUUAAACUUAGAGUAGACUGUUUUAAUACUGUUUAUUACUGUUUGUUCAACUGCUGGCACACACUCCAUACCUUUUACGUAAUAUUAAAAAUGUCGAGUAUUAUUCUUAGAGUCCACAAAAAACACAACACACACACACAACACACAAAAUAUGUUCGAUUGCGAAUGCUAAAACUCUUGUGAUACUGUUUAAAUUAACUUUCUCGAACAAAAGAACUAACUUUAAAUUAGCAACUUCUGCUUAGCGAUUGGUUAAGGAUUGACAAAUAAAUGAAAAUACACUUAAUAAAUAUAUAGCUGAGUUGAGGCAAAAGAAGGGAGAAGGGAGUUGCAUUGUCCGGCUGCACCCAUCAAUGUUUUGGACCGCAAGCGCUUCAUUGUCCAGGCGGUACAGGUGGACCCCGAUAACACCACCCUGUACAGCGUUUGAGGAGUACGAACGCCAGCUUCCUAGCGGGGAAUCCCCGAGUACUGAGAAGGCAAUUGCCGUGGAAUUGCACCCUGUACUUUAUAUUAUUUAUAGUUACCGAUUAAACCUAGGCUAAAACUGCAUUCCCCCUUACACUUAACACACAGUAUUUACCCCCUUUGAAAGAACUGCGGCACAAGCAAAAACUUUAAAUGGUUGCGCAGCAAUCUCUGCUGAAAUCUCUCUCUACUUUCAAAUACAUUUUCAAAGUAUUUUAGACCUUUUAGAGAUUUCUGCGCAUAUCCUGUACAUUAAUUUUUAUGAAUUUGUUUAUAUAACCUUUUAAGCGCCUUUUCCUUUGUCGCGGCUUUGUGCACAUUUGUUGAUUUCCGUUUGUUUAAGUUUUAAGUCAUCCUUAAUGAGUUGUCCACAAAUUAAACGCUUUCCAAUAAUCCGCCGUACUUCAUAUGCAUGUAACUUUUUUUUUGUAAAAAAAUGUUAGACUUAAGUUUACGUAAAGAAAAUACAGACAAAGUGUUGAAUUAUUA